Molecule: small RNA, 235 nt
Filed under: Pongo abelii (Sumatran orangutan)
Lineage: Eukaryota; Metazoa; Chordata; Mammalia; Primates; Hominidae
Description: retained intron
Source: RNAcentral
GGAUGUGGGUGAGUUCAUUUGCUCGCGUGCGGGGGAAGUCUGGAGAAGACAUUGUUUCAAUUAUUAAAAGUGUGGGGGCAGUGGGCGGAACAAACGCGCAGACUACAGAGGCUGGACGUAAGCUUAGCGGUGGCGCGCGUGCGCAGCGCCUGCCCGAGUUGCCAAAACAAAGGGGAUUUGGUGAUGGAGGCUUUGUUAGAAGGAAUACAAAAUCGAGGCCAUGGUGGGUAAGUUU